Long non-coding RNA from Plodia interpunctella (Indianmeal moth), 252 nucleotides. RefSeq lists it as uncharacterized. The transcript is spliced from 3 exons. The record is from RefSeq and is a predicted model, not a curated record. NCBI's taxonomy places the organism in Eukaryota, Metazoa, Arthropoda, Insecta, Lepidoptera, Pyralidae.
GGACAUGAUGAGCAGGAGAAUUUGGUUGAUAGCUUGGAGGGCCGCAUGUGUGCCAGUUGCCUAUUAUUAAUAUUGUUUGGUAUCAUCUGAAGUGAUGUUCCCAGUGAGAGGCAACGUGGCAUCCAUAUUAUAUUGAGGGUGGCGGGUUCUCAGCACAUUGUGUUGCGGAUUGAGAUUUUGAUUAUUUUGAAGAUUUUGGUAUUGUGGAGUUACAUUAAUUUAUUCCUGUUAAUUAUUGUAUUAAAUACAACG